Bombus terrestris (buff-tailed bumblebee) is the source of this 383-nucleotide long non-coding RNA. RefSeq lists it as uncharacterized. The transcript has 2 exons. Lineage: Eukaryota; Metazoa; Arthropoda; Insecta; Hymenoptera; Apidae. The record is from RefSeq and is a predicted model, not a curated record.
UUCUCUACCAGCAUAAACUUAGCUAAACAAUUUGAAGAUUUGAAUUAAGACGAGAUAAAAUAUGAAUUUAAGUUUGAAAAUUUAAAAAUUUGAGUGGGAGUUUGUAAUCAACGUAUUAAUCUUCUCCUUCUGACUUCUAAACAUUUAAUCCGAAAUAGAAUAAAUGAAUCGCAUCGCUGUAAAUGGAAUAAACUAAACUAAAUGAACUAAUUAACAAAAUCAACACAUACCAAAUUAAGGGCCCCCUCCGCAACGCAUUUGGUACGACUAUCGUGCGGUUUUAGUCGAUAAGUCCGACAUUACCACGCGGUCCAUGAGGAUUUCCCCGCGUAAAAAAAAAGUUGAUUUUAUAGUUGUGUGUGCAACUAAAACAAGAACUUUAA